GACGAACGCUGGCGGCGUGCCUAAUACAUGCAAGUCGAACGAACUCUGGUAUUGAUUGGUGCUUGCAUCAUGAUUUACAUUUGAGUGAGUGGCGAACUGGUGAGUAACACGUGGGAAACCUGCCCAGAAGCGGGGGAUAACACCUGGAAACAGAUGCUAAUACCGCAUAACAACUUGGACCGCAUGGUCCGAGCUUGAAAGAUGGCUUCGGCUAUCACUUUUGGAUGGUCCCGCGGCGUAUUAGCUAGAUGGUGGGGUAACGGCUCACCAUGGCAAUGAUACGUAGCCGACCUGAGAGGGUAAUCGGCCACAUUGGGACUGAGACACGGCCCAAACUCCUACGGGAGGCAGCAGUAGGGAAUCUUCCACAAUGGACGAAAGUCUGAUGGAGCAACGCCGCGUGAGUGAAGAAGGGUUUCGGCUCGUAAAACUCUGUUGUUAAAGAAGAACAUAUCUGAGAGUAACUGUUCAGGUAUUGACGGUAUUUAACCAGAAAGCCACGGCUAACUACGUGCCAGCAGCCGCGGUAAUACGUAGGUGGCAAGCGUUGUCCGGAUUUAUUGGGCGUAAAGCGAGCGCAGGCGGUUUUUUAAGUCUGAUGUGAAAGCCUUCGGCUCAACCGAAGAAGUGCAUCGGAAACUGGGAAACUUGAGUGCAGAAGAGGACAGUGGAACUCCAUGUGUAGCGGUGAAAUGCGUAGAUAUAUGGAAGAACACCAGUGGCGAAGGCGGCUGUCUGGUCUGUAACUGACGCUGAGGCUCGAAAGUAUGGGUAGCAAACAGGAUUAGAUACCCUGGUAGUCCAUACCGUAAACGAUGAAUGCUAAGUGUUGGAGGGUUUCCGCCCUUCAGUGCUGCAGCUAACGCAUUAAGCAUUCCGCCUGGGGAGUACGGCCGCAAGGCUGAAACUCAAAGGAAUUGACGGGGGCCCGCACAAGCGGUGGAGCAUGUGGUUUAAUUCGAAGCUACGCGAAGAACCUUACCAGGUCUUGACAUACUAUGCAAAUCUAAGAGAUUAGACGUUCCCUUCGGGGACAUGGAUACAGGUGGUGCAUGGUUGUCGUCAGCUCGUGUCGUGAGAUGUUGGGUUAAGUCCCGCAACGAGCGCAACCCUUAUUAUCAGUUGCCAGCAUUAAGUUGGGCACUCUGGUGAGACUGCCGGUGACAAACCGGAGGAAGGUGGGGAUGACGUCAAAUCAUCAUGCCCCUUAUGACCUGGGCUACACACGUGCUACAAUGGAUGGUACAACGAGUUGCGAACUCGCGAGAGUAAGCUAAUCUCUUAAAGCCAUUCUCAGUUCGGAUUGUAGGCUGCAACUCGCCUACAUGAAGUCGGAAUCGCUAGUAAUCGCGGAUCAGCAUGCCGCGGUGAAUACGUUCCCGGGCCUUGUACACACCGCCCGUCACACCAUGAGAGUUUGUAACACCCAAAGUCGGUGGGGUAACCUUUUAGGAACCAGCCGCCUAAGGUGGGACAGAUGAUUAGGGUGAAGUUC
This 1495-nucleotide ribosomal RNA is filed under the name Lactiplantibacillus plantarum. Its description in RNAcentral is "Lactobacillus plantarum partial 16S ribosomal RNA". It matches the Rfam family "Bacterial small subunit ribosomal RNA". Lineage: Bacteria; Bacillati; Bacillota; Bacilli; Lactobacillales; Lactobacillaceae. The record is from RNAcentral.